UACGUAGGUGGCUAGCGUUGUCCGGAUUUACUGGGCGUAAAGAGCGCGCAGGCGGUCGUUUCAAGUCGAGUGUGAAAGCCCCCGGCUCAACUGGGGAGGGUCACUCGAUACUGAUCGACUCGAAGGCAGGAGAGGGAAGCGGAAUUCCCGGUGUAGUGGUGAAAUGCGUAGAUAUCGGGAGGAACACCAGUGGCGAAGGCGGCUUUCUGGCCUGCUCUUGACGCUGAGGCGCGAAAGCUAGGGUAGCAAACGGG
Molecule: ribosomal RNA, 254 nt
Filed under: uncultured bacterium
Lineage: Bacteria
Description: partial 16S ribosomal RNA
Rfam family: Bacterial small subunit ribosomal RNA
Source: RNAcentral